This is a non-coding RNA of Arachis ipaensis, 5112 nucleotides long. The record is from RefSeq and is a predicted model, not a curated record. Lineage: Eukaryota; Viridiplantae; Streptophyta; Magnoliopsida; Fabales; Fabaceae.
CACAAAUAUAUAACAAAUAUAUUUAAAAAAUUAACAAUUUUACUAACAUGUGAACUAAACCUGAACCGUGAUUUCAAAAGUGAAAGCUCCAAUCUCAGACUCACAGAGUAGAAGUAACAUUGAAUUGAAGCCCAAAUCGAGAUCAGAACCGUGCCCCUCUGUCUUUUGCUCCGUGAUUCCCAAUCUGAGAAUAGAAGUAACGGUGGUGCGAAUAUGACUAAUAUGACUAAGUUCCGGAGACUAGGUCGACCCACCGGUCACCGAAUGUCCAUGCUCAGAACCAUGGUCUCCCAGCUCAUCAAGCACGACCGCAUCGAAACCACUGUUCCCAAGGCUAAAGAGGUUUGCAGACUCGCUGAUAACAUGGUUCAGCUUGGCAAGCAGAUCACAGUUAAGGCACUACCACAAACUACUACAACCAGUCAACCAGAAGUCAACCCCCUUCUUACCAUUUGUUCCUUCAGAUCUGAUCACUUCUCUUCAGAAACAUGGCUGCAGAAGCUGUUUUGUCUUCCGUUCUUAGUGUUGUUUUUGACAGGAUGUCCUCUCCUGAAGUUGUUAACUGGAUCAAAGGGAAGAAGCUUACUCAGAACCUGAUUGAAAGGUUGAAGACUAAUCUUUUUGCUGUUCAAGCCUUUCUCAUUGAUGCUGAGCAGAAGCAGAUCAAGGACAGACCUGUCAAGGACUGGCUUGAUAGUCUCAAACAUGCCAUGUAUGUUGCUGAUGACUUGCUCGAUGAAGUCUUCACCAAAGCUGCCACUCAGAAGGAUCCAGGUACCUUCCUCUCUCGUUUUCUCAAUUUGCAAGAUAGGGAUGUAGCAAACAGGAUGGAGGAAGUCAUUGAUAGGAUAGAGUCUCUUGUGAUUCAAAAAGACACUCUUGGUCUCAGAGAGAUUCCUAAGGAGAACAUGUCAUGGAGGAUCACUACAUCUCUAGUUGAAACAUCUGAUGUAUGUGGCAGGGAAGAAGACAAGGAGGCCAUAGUAAAACUCUUGUUGGAUGAUAAUGGUGAUGAUGAUACUGGUGGUCAUAGUGAUGUAUCUGUGAUUCCCAUUGUGGGCAUGGGUGGGAUAGGAAAGACUACUUUGGCCCAAUUGGUUUAUCAGGAUGACAAAGUGAAGGAGAAUUUUGAUUUUCAAGCUUGGAUUUGUGUGUCAGAAGAGUUUGAUGUUUUCAAGGUUACGAAGACUAUAAUCGAGGCAAUAACUUCAAGUUUUUGCAGCUUGACGGAUUUGAAUUUGCUUCAGCAUGAUUUAAAAGAAAAGUUGUCAAGGAAAAAGUUCUUUGUGGUCUUGGACGAUGUAUGGAGUGAAAGUUACGAAGAUUGGGAUAAACUUCUAAAACCUUUUCGAAAUGGGGUCAAGGGAAGUAAAAUUCUCAUAACAACUAGAAGUAAAAGAGUGGCUUCUGUGGUGCAAACUGUUUCACCUUAUGAACUGAGCUUAUUGUCUGAGGAAGAUUGUUGGUUGGUGUUUUCAAAACAUGCACGUCUCUCAACUGGUUCUAUGGAGAAUCCAACCUUGAAAAAAGUUGGCAGAGAUCUUGUAAAGAAGUGUGAUGGAUUGCCCUUGGCAGCUCAAUCCCUUGGAGGCUUAUUGCGUGGAAAUUCUGAUAUCAAGUAUUGGAAUCAUUUAUUGAAGAGUGAGAUCUGGGAACUCUCCGAUGAUAAGAUAAAGGUUGUUCCUGCGUUAAGAAUCAGUUAUUACUAUCUUCCUUCGAAUUUAAAGGAGUGCUUUGUUUAUUGUUCUUUAUAUCCCAAAGACUAUGAAUUUAGCAAAGAUGAAUUGAUAUUGUUAUGGAUGGCAGAGAAUUUCUUGCAACCAGCAGGAAAAAAGACUCCAGAAGAAGUUGGUGAUGAAUAUUUUGAUGAAUUGAUUGCAAGAUCAUUUUUCCAACCUCAUAAGAUUCAUGAAAACAAGUUUGUGAUGCAUGAUCUCGUGCAUGAUUUGGCAAUGAUAUUUGCUGGAGAAUUCUAUUUCAGAGCUGAAGAGCUUGAGAAUGCAGUUGAGCUUGAUAUUAAAACUCGUCGUUUGUCACAUAAUGCCAAAGGCAAUUAUCCAAUCUCAAAACUUUUGGGAGUUUGUGACCGAAUAAAACACACAAGGACAUUUCUUGGACUCAAUUUGAAUUCACAGAUUCCAUUUAACAUGGAAAAUGCACCUUGUAUCUUGUUGUCAAAGUUGAAGUACCUGAGGGCUUUGUCGUUCAAUUGCUUUCCUCUUGAGUCAUUGCCUGAUUCAAUAGGCGAGUUGAUUCAUUUGCGUUACUUGGAUUUGUCUUGGACCUACAUCAUGACAUUGCCCGAUACGCUUUGCAACUUGUACAAUUUACAAACAUUGAAGCUGGUUGGAUGUCGGAAACUAAAAACCCUUCCUGUUAGCAUGAAAGAUCUUACAAACUUGCGUUACCUUGAUAUUAGCGGGACUGGUUUGCAUGAGAUGCCGGAAGGCAUGAGCAAAUUGACAAGUUUGCAGGUUUUAAGCAAGUAUGUUGUCGGGAAGCGUGAAGGGAACAAGAUUAAUGAAUUGGGAGCACUUGCAAAUCUACACCAAACAAUUUUCAUUGACAAAUUGGAAAAUGUGGUCAAUAGCAGCGAAGCAUUGGAGGCAAGAAUGUUUGAUAAGGAUGGCAUUGAAUGUUUGUUCUUGGAGUGGUCGCCAGAUGAAUAUGAGAAUACAGUUGAUUCACAAAUUGAAAGAGAUAUACUUGAAAAGUUACAACCUCAUAGUAAUUUGAAACAACUUCAAAUUUGGGGUUACAGGGGUACAACAUUUCCAGAUUGGUUGGGACAUUGUUCUUACCACAACAUUACCCAAAUAACACUGGGCGGUUUUUUUCCGGGUUAUUUCAAGAAUUGUUGUAUGCUUCCUUCACUUGGACAGUUGCCCUCUUUGAAGCACCUGGAAAUUUCAAAGUUUGAACGGCUUGCUAUUGUGGGGGAUGAGUUUUACCGAAAUUAUGAAUCUUGUCUGGAGACUCCAUUUCCAAUGCUUGAAACUCUUAGAUUUUACUCAAUGUCUUGCUGGGAGGAAUGGCGUUCAUUGGAGUUCAAUGCAUUUCCUCGACUUAGGGAGCUUAUCAUAUGGGAUUGUCCCAUGUUGAGAGGAGAUUUGCCAAAUCAACUACCAUCUUUGCGGUCACUUACUAUUCAGAAUUGCGAGCAGCUCAGUUGUUGUGUUCCAAGAGCUCCUGCGAUUACCUCUUUACGCAUAGAAGGAAGCAAUGAAGUGAGAAUUGGGGAACUAGCUCCUUUGCUGGAUAUUCUAUCAAUUACGGGAAAACAUCAAGUGGAGUCGGUGAUGGAGGCCAUUACGCAAACCAAACUCACUUGCCUCAGAUCUUUAUCCAUCUCAGGUUGUUCAUCCCACGUAUUGUUUCCAGUUGGUAGUAUUCCCGCAUCCCUACAAGAGCUGACGAUAUUGGAUUGCAAAAAAUUAGAAUUCCAAAUGGAAGGCCAACACCACUCAUUGCAUAAACUAAUGAUACAUAACAGCUGUGAUUCGGUUCCAUCCUUCUCCCUGGAUUCUUUUCCAAAUCUCGGGCGUGUUGAAAUCAGCAAGUGUGAAAAGAUGGAGUCUCUUGUGGUGUCACGCUCUCUUUCAUGUCUCCCUUAUUUAGAGAUAGAGAAUUGUGGGAGUUUGAAAUCCCUCAAGACGCAAUGGAUGGCAUCACCUCAGCUAGAAGAUCUAGGAUUACUUGGUUGCCCAGAGAUUGAUUUGUCUGCUACAGAGGAUCCACACCGUAGCUUGAGAUCUCUUACCAUCAGCUACUGCGAGAAACUACUCAGCGGUGCAGCAUCGCAAUUUCAUGGGGUUACUCAUCUUUGUAUUGAAGGUGAAAAUGAGAGUGUGAAGUCUCUUCCAAAGGAAGGUUGGUUGCCUGCCACCCUUGAGUCUCUCAAACUGAUCGGCAUCACAAGUGUGAAGAUGUUGGAAUGCAAGGGACUUGCCCACCUCACCUCUCUCCAACAAUUAUCUAUUUAUUGUUGUUUCAAUUUGGAGAACAUUGACGGAGAAAAGCUGCCUGCCUCUCUAGUACGACUCAUCAUCGAUGGAAGCCCUUUGUUGGGUAAACGGUGUGAGAUGAAGGACCCGCAGGUUUGGCCCAAAAUUUCCCACAUCCCCGCCAUUCAAGUUGGUGGAAGAUGGAUUUGGUAAUCCAACAACUUCAACAGCUUUUCCAACAAGAGAUAACUUCUGCAGUUACGGUUUUGCUUUUGAUGCAUCACUGACAUAAGACAUUCAAUCAUUGUAACGGAGAGGAAUUCUGAGAAACAAGACAAUGAUAAUAACUGCAACACAGAAUGAAAUUCUCACCAUGAUUGCUUUCAUACAAGUGGUUAAAAAAUCUGAUGACAAAAGUGAAAGCAACUGAGCAACCAGGGAUAAUCAUGGACACAAUCCAAGAGAUUCAAGAGCGGCAUGACACAUUGAUUGAUAUAGAGAGGAGCCCCAAUGAACUUCAUCAAGUGUUCUUGGACAUGGCUGUUUUGGUCCAAUCACAAGGUAAGCAACUCCAUGACAUAGAGUGCCACGUGGCAAGAGUGAAUUCGUAUGUCUGCGGUGGGUCCAGCAGUUGCAGUUUGCAAGGAAGCACCAGAAGAAUUCCGGAAGUCCACAUUCAUUGGCAAUUUGGCAUCAUAAUAUUGAUCAUCAUCAUAUUGAUUAUAGUCCUUCUGUCGAGAAAUCAAGAGAAAUCAAGUCAACAUAUUCUGUCAGUGUGUCACAUUCACAUAACCAUUGCAUUGUAAAUUGUAAAAUAAUACCUUGUUUGUUUUUCUGGAACCUACCCUUUUGAAGAUUUAGAAUUUCAUGUUCAUGGUCUGGAAGGUUAUAUUUGUAGUGAAAUAAGAGUGCCAAAAAUUCACAAUUGAAAAGUAUAGGGAAUUCAGAAUAUUUAAAUGGUUAAACAAUGAAAAGGGAAUGAAUUAAGAUGAUGAUGAAGACAAUAUUGAAGAAUGCCAUAGUCUGUCCACUUGCAUUCACUAACCUUCUCCAUUAGUUGACAGCAGCUCCUUAUUAUUGGGGUUUAAUUCAUCAAUAGCCACUCUAAUCUCUUUGCCAUUAUUUUUCCUUCUUGGAAGAUUUAUGUUGGUACAUUCUUUUGCAUUCA